This is a long non-coding RNA of Electrophorus electricus (electric eel), 1563 nucleotides long. RefSeq lists it as uncharacterized. The record is from RefSeq and is a predicted model, not a curated record. NCBI's taxonomy places the organism in Eukaryota, Metazoa, Chordata, Actinopteri, Gymnotiformes, Gymnotidae.
UGUGGAAUCACUACCUCACUGCUCUCCAACCAUAGAACAAAGUCCAGUAGGUCACAUGUACAACUGAAAGGAUUAUUCUCCAGUUUGUUUAUGCACAGGUGCACGGUGAGCAGAGGGUCACUAACCACUUGCAUGUCCGAUGGAACUCUGGAGAGGAAGUCCAGCAGUUCGUUGUUAUCAAUGAGGAGGCCACCUCAUCUAGGACUGUCUGGACACUGAUGCAGAUAUCUUGAAUGGCAUACAGCUUGUCCAGUAAGCCCUUUUUAUCACAGUGGCAUUCAGUUAAACAAUCAUUUAGAAUAUUAUGUUCUCCAAAAUGAAAUUAAAUCUUAAUUAAUAAACAAUAUAUAGUCCACUUAUCUCUCUACCAAUUCUUUUGACCAAGUGCCAUUUUAUGAAAGAAAUGUAACUGUAUUAGUUUAAUUUGACAAUCAAGAUGAAAAAAAAACAAUAGCUUUCAGAAAAAAUGUAAAACAACAGACUAGACCUGGUCUUUCUAAGUGACAUAGGUCCAACAGAAACCUGCAGAAAUCCAAAAUAAAAAGAAAAUGACGGAGACAAUGAGCGGCAAAGAAAGUGAGAUGUGAUUAUAAACAUCCUGUUGGGAUGUUUCCAAUCACCCCACCAGUGGGGUGGUUCCCUGUGUGAGCUCUCAUGCCUCUUCUGGGAAGGAGUCAUAUGCUCUGAUAUAUUACACAAUAGCACCACAUCUCUGGCAGCAGCAGUAAUGUCAAUUUUAUCUCAUAGGUUUAAUCAAGUGCAAUGUUUCUCAAAAUACAAGAUUAGUCAAGAGAACAGAGUUUGAACAAUGUGCAUCCGAGGAAGUUCUUGCUUAUAUCUUCUACCACUGAAUUAAGUAAAACUGUAGUUCUUUUAAAUGCACAGCUCAAAUUUAAGGUUGAUUUUCUUAGCCAUAUAAGCACUGUGCUGGCUGGUUGUGGUCAUAGGGAAUGCUGUGACAUAUUGCCUGGUUUGACCUUUUGCCUUUAUCUAUGAUGACAGCAAUGGAGAAAAUGAGGGCAAAGGAAUGAGGUUAUGUUAUUCUUCCCCCCGGCAACAAGUGAAUCGUCCCCUAUAUAUUAACAGGGGCAAUUUAUGGAGGCUAAGAGAGUGAUAUCUACCCUUGGCCCAUUUUCCUAACCAGCCAGCAGUUUAAGUACAAACACAUGCCAGGACUAACUCAGUGACUGUGUGGACUCCCAGUUAAUCAGAAACAGGUGCUUGUGUCAUUCAGGCCAAAACAGUCCCAUUAGCCCCAAGGGCCAAAGGCUUACCAGCUAAUGGCUGCCUUGUGGUAGACAAAGGGUUACUGGAAUUAGGAUGCAACAGCUGGGGUUAAACAUCUGAGAUACGUUGAGCAUAGCAUAAUCCACAGGUGCAAUUAAAAGAUAGCACUGACAGAUAUAUUAUGGGAUGUUUUGUUCCUUUUGGCACUUCCUUGGAGCCAGCUGCUGAGUAAAAAUGAAAUGAUAACGAUGUAGGCUGAACAAGGUGUCCUUUUGAUCAGCAUUAAGUAUAUUGCUGUAUUAUACAGUAUAAUAUCCAUGAAAGAUAAACUACAAU